CUGCAGCUAAUAAAGACUCCUUUGCUUAUGAGAGCCCAGUGCGUGAUGGUUGCAAGUAGCAGCCUUCUUGGUAGUGUAUGCAGCCUGUUGCAUAUAUGAGUUAUUCUAAAGAACCUGAAGAUGGCC
Small nucleolar RNA from Heterocephalus glaber (naked mole-rat), 126 nucleotides. Its record names the gene SNORA70. It matches the Rfam family "Small nucleolar RNA SNORA70". From Rfam's summary of the family: snoRNA U70 seems to be exclusive to mammals and is a member of the H/ACA class of snoRNA which contain H (ANANNA) and ACA box motifs. H/ACA box snoRNAs are involved in the conversion of uridines to pseudouridines (5-ribosyluracil) a constituent of structural RNAs (transfer, ribosomal, small nuclear, and small nucleolar). NCBI's taxonomy places the organism in Eukaryota, Metazoa, Chordata, Mammalia, Rodentia, Bathyergidae. The record is from Ensembl.